AAGCCACUGCUUCUUUUGGUCGAAAAGCCGAAGCCAGCAACCCCAUGCUUUUAGAAGCAGGCACUGGCUUUUCCACUGUAGCGGUAGUUACUGUAGUUUAAUGAACAUUUCGAAAUACCGGAUUGUGUCCUCUCUUCCUUUCAGUAAUUACACCACACUGCCAUCAAACCCUUCUCUUCCGUGUUCAAAAGUGGAAGCCUCCAGCGCCGUGCAGUGAACAGGCACAGGACUUCACGCUGACUGCUCCUCUCAUUCUUGUUCGAAUCCUCAAUCCAAUCCCCGGAUUUUCGUACCAGGCUCUGAAAAUCGAAAGCUUUCCUGAAAAGUUUUGACUUCUCAGUUUGUUUUCAGAAAGAUUUUCCUGAAAUAUUAGGUACUAAAGCUUGGGCUACUUUUGAUUGCGAAGACAGUUCCAUUUUGCUGAUCAACCAAGAAGCUUCUCCCAUUUCUAGAGGGGCAGAGAAGAAGUUAGACAAGGAACUUUCAGUGCUUGAAUGGGGUUCAAAGACUUGUCAAGUUGAAGUUAUCACAAAGGUAGUUUGAUGGUGUCGGUUUUAGAUGGAAACCAUUAUGAAGUCGUAUUAGCACCGUCUUCGUUGAUGAUGCAAUGUAAAAUAUGAUGCUUGUGAAAAAUGUAAAAUAUGGUGUUUGUGAAAAAUGCGGUGUGUCAUAAACUGAUGAUGCAUCAUCUUAGUUGAUGAUGCAAUGUAAAAUAUGAUGCUGCUUUUGUGUUUGAAGGAUUAUGUUAUAUAAGUUGUAAAAGUGUCAUCUUUGUUGAUGAUGCAAUGUUAACUUUUAUGCUUGUGUAAAGUUGUUUAUGAAAGGUAAA
Molecule: long non-coding RNA, 829 nt
Organism: Rosa chinensis
Lineage: Eukaryota; Viridiplantae; Streptophyta; Magnoliopsida; Rosales; Rosaceae
Exons: 2
Source: RefSeq, a predicted model, not a curated record